CGGCGCGGGUAGCGAACGAGCGAACCAGCGGGGCGGUCCGAGCUGCGGAGCGCCCCCAAGCGGCAGGAGAUGGGGCUGUGUGGAUCUGUGUGCUCGCUGCAUUCCCCUCCUGGAGUGGUACAUGAAGAGAUGCUCUCUUGUUCCUUGAGGACGGAUCCCACGUGCUUAACACCUCUGGAAGAAAAACAGUGAUAUUUUCACAGCUGUAGUAGUCUAAAUACUGAGGGCAUGCAGAUUUGUCCCUAGCAUUUCUGUGAGGAAUGACACAAGAUCGUUACCUUGCUGAGACUGAGCGAUCCAAUUUCAAAGCAUGGAAAAAGGGUAAUCAUGAAACACAGACCCUAGGUUAAUAAAGAGGCUCUAAGAAAAGACAUCAGUCCAUCGUUACUUUUCUCUUUUCUGUGCAUAAGGAGAAAUAACCUCCUCCUUGUUAAUGUUACUGGAUUAGAUCAGUGCAAAAUGUACCAAUGCAAAAUU
This is a long non-coding RNA of Centrocercus urophasianus (Greater sage-grouse), 477 nucleotides long. RefSeq lists it as uncharacterized. NCBI's taxonomy places the organism in Eukaryota, Metazoa, Chordata, Aves, Galliformes, Phasianidae. The record is from RefSeq and is a predicted model, not a curated record. The transcript has 3 exons.